CUACGGGGGGCACCAGUGGGGAAUAUUGCACAAUGGGCGCAAGCCUGAUGCAGCCAUGCCGCGUGUAUGAAGAAGGCCUUCGGGUUGUAAAGUACUUUCAGCGGGGAGGAAGGGAGUAAAGUUAAUACCUUUGCUCAUUGACGUUACCCGCAGAAGAAGCACCGGCUAAGACCGUGCCAGCAGCCGCGGUAAUACGGAGGGUGCAAGCGUUAAUCGGAAUUACUGGGCGUAAAGCGCACGCAGGCGGUUUGUUAAGUCAGAUGUGAAAUCCCCGGGCCCAACCUGGGAACUGCAUCUGAUACUGGCAAGCUUGAGUCUCGUAGAGGGGGGUAGAAUUCCAGGUGUAGCGGUGAAAUGCGUAGAGAUCUGGAGGAAUACCGGUGGCGAAGGCGGCCCCCUGGACGAAGACUGACGCUCAGGUGCGAAAGCGUGGGGAGCAAACAGGAUUAGAUACCCGCGUAGUC
Molecule: ribosomal RNA, 464 nt
Filed under: uncultured bacterium
Lineage: Bacteria
Description: partial 16S ribosomal RNA
Rfam family: Bacterial small subunit ribosomal RNA
Source: RNAcentral